UACGGAGGGUGCGAGCGUUAAUCGGAAUUAUUGGGCGUAAAGGGUGCGUAGGUGGUUAUAUAAGUUAGUUGUGAAAGUCCUGGGCUUAACCUAGGGAUGUCGACUAAGACUGUAUGACUUGAGUAAAGUAGAGGGUAGUGGAAUUUCCGGUGUAGCGGUGAAAUGCGUAGAGAUCGGAAGGAACACCGGUGGCGAAGGCGGCUACCUGGGCUAUUACUGACACUGAGGCACGAAAGCGUGGGGAGCAAACAGG
RNAcentral lists this ribosomal RNA (253 nucleotides) under uncultured bacterium. RNAcentral's name for it is "partial 16S ribosomal RNA". It matches the Rfam family "Bacterial small subunit ribosomal RNA", at positions 524 to 776 of the family's 1533-position model. The record is from RNAcentral.